UGCAGAGGUCCCAAGCGUUGUUCGGAUUCACUGGGCGUAAAGGGUGCGUAGGUGGCCGGGUAAGUCUGACGUGAAAUCUCCAAGCUCAACUUGGAAACUGCAUCGGAUACUAUCCGGCUCGAGGAUCGGAGGGGAGACUGGAAUGCUUGGUGUAGCAGUGAAAUGCGUAGAUAUCAAGUGGAACACCAGUGGCGAAGGCGAAUCCCUGGAAAAUACCUGACACUGAGGCACGAAAGCUAGGGGAGCAAACAGG
This 253-nucleotide ribosomal RNA is filed under the name uncultured bacterium. RNAcentral's name for it is "partial 16S ribosomal RNA". It matches the Rfam family "Bacterial small subunit ribosomal RNA", at positions 524 to 776 of the family's 1533-position model. The record is from RNAcentral.